This 311-nucleotide ribosomal RNA is filed under the name uncultured eukaryote. Its description in RNAcentral is "partial 18S ribosomal RNA". It matches the Rfam family "Eukaryotic small subunit ribosomal RNA", at positions 1470 to 1796 of the family's 1831-position model. The record is from RNAcentral.
CCCCUAGACGUUCUGGGCUGCACGCGCGCUACAAUAAUACGCACAGCGAGUAUCACCGAGCUCGAAAGGGCAAGGUAAACAAUAGAAAAGGUACUGUAAUGGUUAUAGAUCCUUGUAAUUAUUGAUCUUCAACGAGGAAUUCCUAGUAAGUAUGUGUCAUCAUCACGCACUGAUUACGUCCCUGCCCUUUGUACACACCGCCCGUCGCUCCUACCGAUUGGGUGAGCCGAUGAAACUCUCGGAUGUAGGCUAUACAUAGCCCGCAGAAGAGAUUUGAAUCGUAGCGCUUAGAGGAAGGAGAAGUCGUAACA